Lathyrus oleraceus (garden pea) is the source of this 384-nucleotide long non-coding RNA. RefSeq lists it as uncharacterized. The transcript has 2 exons. The record is from RefSeq and is a predicted model, not a curated record. Lineage: Eukaryota; Viridiplantae; Streptophyta; Magnoliopsida; Fabales; Fabaceae.
CUCAUUUUUGCUCUUUUUAAUAAAUAGUUUACUGAAUAAUAGAAUUGAAGAGAAUAAUGGAAUACAGAUACUGAUCAUGUCUGGUUUCAUUUCAUCGUCUAGUACUCUAGACUAUUUUAUUACGUCAUAAUGAUAUUUUCUCCUCAUUUUUCAGCCACCCCUUUACAUCUCUGACAAUCACACUUAGUCGACUUACUUCACAGUGCACUGGAUUUAGUUAGAAGGAGAGGCAACUGCUCGUGCUAUUCGCUUAGCAGAUUUGUAAACACUCCUUUGUAUGUGGUUCAUGUCAUGAGCAUUGAUGCAAUGGAAGAAAUUGCGAAAGCCAGGACAUCAGGUUCUUAACUUCAAUCCUAGUAAUGUAUUCCAGAUUAUGUAGAGAAA